This 301-nucleotide ribosomal RNA is filed under the name uncultured bacterium. RNAcentral describes it as "partial 16S ribosomal RNA". It matches the Rfam family "Bacterial small subunit ribosomal RNA", at positions 509 to 808 of the family's 1533-position model. The record is from RNAcentral.
CAGCCGCCGCGGUAAUACGUAGGUCCCGAGCGUUGUCCGGAUUUAUUGGGCGUAAAGGGAGCGCGGGCGGUUUAGUAAGUCUGAAGUUAAAGGCAUUGGCUCAACCAAUGUAUGCUUUGGAAACUGUUAGACUUGAGUGCAAGAGGGGAGAGUGGAAUUCCAAGUGUAGCGGUGAAAUGCGUAGAUAUAUGGAGGAACACCGGUGGCGAAAGCGGCUCUCUGGCUUGUAACUGACGCUGAGGCUCGAAAGCGUGGGGAGCAAACAGGAUUAGAUACCCCAGUAGUCCCUGUCUCUUAUACA